GAUGAACGCUGGCGGCGUGCUUAACACAUGCAAGUCGAUCGGAAAGGCUCCUGCUUGCAGGGGUACUCGAGUGGCGAACGGGUGAGUAACACGUGGGUGAUCUGCCCUGCACUUCGGGAUAAGCCUGGGAAACUGGGGCUAAUACCGGAUAGGACGAUGGUUUGGAUGCCAUUGUGGAAAGUUUUUUCGGUGUGGGAUGAGCUCGCGGCCUAUCAGCUUGUUGGUGGGGUAAUGGCCUACCAAGGCGUCGACGGGUAGCCGGCCUGGGAGGGGGUACGGCCACAUUGGGACUGAGAUACGGCCCAGACUCCUACGGGAGGCAGCAGGGGGGAAUAUUGCACAAGGGGCGCAAGCCUGAUGCAGCGACGCCGCGUGGGGGAUGACGGCCUUCGGGUUGUAAACUCCUUUCGCUAGGGACGAAGCGCAAGUGACGGUACCUGGAGAAGAAGCACCGGCUAACUACGU
RNAcentral lists this ribosomal RNA (465 nucleotides) under uncultured bacterium. RNAcentral describes it as "partial 16S ribosomal RNA". It matches the Rfam family "Bacterial small subunit ribosomal RNA", at positions 28 to 506 of the family's 1533-position model. The record is from RNAcentral.